GGGUCGUUAGCUCAGUCGGUAGAGCAGUUGGCUUUUAACCAAUUGGUCGCUGGUUCGAACCCAGCACGACCCACCA
This 76-nucleotide transfer RNA is filed under the name Pseudomonadales bacterium. RNAcentral's name for it is "tRNA-Lys". It matches the Rfam family "tRNA". Rfam says of the family: Transfer RNA (tRNA) molecules are approximately 80 nucleotides in length. Their secondary structure includes four short double-helical elements and three loops (D, anti-codon, and T loops). The record is from RNAcentral. Lineage: Bacteria; Pseudomonadati; Pseudomonadota; Gammaproteobacteria; Pseudomonadales. RNAcentral also lists the same sequence under 13 other names.